Molecule: ribosomal RNA, 468 nt
Filed under: uncultured bacterium
Lineage: Bacteria
Description: partial 16S ribosomal RNA
Rfam family: Bacterial small subunit ribosomal RNA
Source: RNAcentral
GACGAACGCUGGCGGCGUGCUUAACACAUGCAAGUCGAACGGAAAGGCCCUGCUUUUGUGGGGUGCUCGAGUGGCGAACGGGUGAGUAACACGUGAGUAACCUGCCCUUGACUUUGGGAUAACUUCAGGAAACUGGGGCUAAUACCGGAUAGGAGCUCCUGCUGCAUGGUGGGGGUUGGAAAGUUUCGGCGGUUGGGGAUGGACUCGCGGCUUAUCAGCUUGUUGGUGGGGUAGUGGCUUACCAAGGCUUUGACGGGUAGCCGGCCUGAGAGGGUGACCGGCCACAUUGGGCCUGAGGUACGGCCCAGACUCCUACGGGAGGCAGCAGUGGGGAAUAUUGCACAAGGGGGGGAAGCCUGAUGCAGCAGCGCCGCGUGCGGGAUGACGGCCUUCGGGUGGUAAACCGCUUUCGCCUGUGACGAAGCGUGAGUGACGGUAAUGGGUAAAGAAGCACCGGCUAACUACGUG